Colobus angolensis palliatus is the source of this 99-nucleotide microRNA precursor. The record is from Ensembl. NCBI's taxonomy places the organism in Eukaryota, Metazoa, Chordata, Mammalia, Primates, Cercopithecidae.
GAGGUGGGAGGACUGCUUGAGCCUGGGAGGUCGAGGCUGCCGUGAGCCAUGAUCAUGCCACUGCACUCCAGCCUGAGUGACAGAGUGAGACCUUGUCUC